Rhopalosiphum padi (bird cherry-oat aphid) is the source of this 4182-nucleotide long non-coding RNA. RefSeq lists it as uncharacterized. The transcript has 6 exons. The record is from RefSeq and is a predicted model, not a curated record. NCBI's taxonomy places the organism in Eukaryota, Metazoa, Arthropoda, Insecta, Hemiptera, Aphididae.
GCAUAAUUUUAGGGUUAUAUAUAUAGGUACAUAGCAAUGUCCAAUUAGAUGUUGAUAGUCGAUUAUACUGAUUAUAGUAUUAAAAAUUUAUAAAUAUAAUUAUUUUACGUACUAUUAUGUAAAAUAUGUGUAGGUAUUUACGUAAGCGGUGAAAUCGCUGUAUAAUGGGAAUAAAUGGUAACAAAUAGGAGGUAGGUUGUAGCCUGUAGGUGCCUCCUUGUGCCUAUAGUUAUAUCGCAGUAAAUACGAUUUUUACAAAAUGAUUAAUUUUGGCAUAUUUUACCUCGAACACGUGUGUGCUCAAACCACACGACGUGUAUGUUGUACUUGUGCAGUUAUAUGUUGUAUAUUUAAUAUCAUUAUUAUUUGUUCAUUCAAAACACAGUUGUUACUAGCACGAUUUCAGCAGCAGUCACACUCACAUAAUAUAGGUAUAAUACUAUAAUGGAUAGCACCUAGAUACCUACGCGCUCGCAUAAAUAAUACAACACCUAUAUAUGUUCCAUACAGAGUGAUUGUUUCAACUGUACCUAAAUAUAUUAUAUAAUAAAAUAUUUAAUGUCAUUUUUGAAAAUUAAUUUUAGCUAUUUUAUUAACAUUUAUUGUUCAAUUCUUAUUUUUUUCUGAUUGACGUAGAUUUUUAAAUUAGAUUCACAAGCCGAAUAUUAUGUUGAAAAUUAUAAUGUAGAUACAAAUACAAAUUUAAUUUCUAACGAAUGGUUGUUAGGUAGGUAAUUAGUUAUAUGGAGGAAUGUGGCGAAUGUAUUAAGUUUAGUUUCAGAUAAAUGGAGUGAAGUAGCAUACUAGCAUAUACUGGCAGUGUGUCCCCAUAAAAUUGUUAGGAUACACGGCAGUGCUAUUAUAGGUGUUAAAUUUUUUUGUUUAUGAUCGAGUCCGAUGCGUACCUAUAAUAUCAAAGCUGUAUAAUAAUUAAUAAUUUUAUAUUAUUAUAGUAUACAGUCAUAUACUCAUAUAGCAUAUUUCGUACCAGUGGCGUAGCCAGGAUUUUUUUUAGGGUUUUUUUUCGUAAUAAAAUAAAAUAAAUCUAAAACCGUGGUAAAAUAAUAAAAUAAUUGAAUGAUAAAGAUUAUUAUCACCAGUGUAGUCGACAACGUGAAUACGGCAUAACAGAAUACAUUUUACCACGAACCGAAUGAUUGUAUUCCUGUAUUGUAAACAUUAUAUUUUUGGUAAAAAAUACGGCCGAAGGGGGGAGGUGGUUAACCCCCCCGGCUACGCCACUGUUUCGAACAAAAAACCUGAACAUCUGCUAUUACUAUUCUAAAUAGAAUGAAAAUCUCGUUGGAAUGCGACGGACUGCACGCGACGACGUCAUAAUGUCUCUUAAAUAUAACAUGUUGUAUUAAUUUAUCAUAAUGAUAUACAUAUUCAUCACGAUAUAUUUAUGUUCUUUUCUAGGGAGCGCACGUACUUAUGAUAUAACUAUGACAUCAUUGUUGUGUCGGCAUGACGAAAAAUGGGAUGGGCGAGCUCCUAUAACAGUCAUCGUCGUCGGUUUAAGAUGUGACUGACACAAAAUCUUAAUUUGUUGCAGACGACCACGUCAUGUCAUCAUACCUGAAAAUGAAAAUCGUCAGGGAAUCGAGGAAAAAUCCCUACAAUACGACCAACUGUGUAUACAGCGAAUUCGCCGUUCACAACCAGCUAUUAAACAAAAAAAACAGCUCCAAUAAGAGAAUCGUAUAAAUAAGAAAUAUAUUGCUAAGGACUGUUUAAAUCGAGAUAAUAGUUUUGAAAAAAAGAGGUGGAUCCAUGGCCCGACCUUAACAUGGACCUCAGCGCCACUGAAUUUUCAUCUAAAGAACUAGAUAUAUAAUUUAAAUCAUGUAAAUUAUUAGACCAUUUAGUAGGUAAGACGAUUGAACAUCGCCUUGCACUUUCUACAUACUACAUACCUAACCUAACCAAACAAACAGCUGUUUGUAUAGAACCACGUGACCCAUCUGUUGACCGACGGCUGUUCGCUGGACGAUAUGACCAAAUACGUUUGCGGACUCGGAUAGACGAUCUUGAAUCUUGAUAGUCAUUCCGACCAACCUGGAGUUAGGGGCGGAAAUAAUAUUAACAUUUUCACGGUGUCGCGGUAGGCCAGUACGAGCUUGAUUAUAAUGAGGAUUUACUCUGUCUCAUACGCCAUCAAACGAUUCAACGUAAACCAUAUAUACUAUAUUAUGUUAUUAACAGACAUAUUUUGGACGACGGUUUUGACCAAAUAUUAAGUAGGUAUUACAGGUCUGAAGUUCAUUGUAUCUUGUAUCCAGGGGAGAUAAUAAACUUCGGUAAAAUUACACCUUUUCUAAAAGUUGAUAUGUAAACUGCAACAAAAAAAAUAUAACAUUAUACAAUCUGUGACAAAACCAAUAAGAUACAUUAUACAAACUCCGGCCAUUUAUUUUAUAUGCUUACCUACUAUAUUAUUAUAUAUUAUUAUAUAGCGCAUGUUUUAUUUGAGCACAUUCCCAUGUUUUAUAAUCAAUUAUUUUUUUUUAUUCAUAUUUAAAUUUAAAUUUAAAAUUGGUUAACACUAUUAAUUGUUUGCUAUUCUGCCUAAAUAUUGUUGUAAGUUCCUUAUUAAAUUAAAUAUUAUAAGCGACACAACAUUUCUUAAACUAUUUCUUCUAUUGAUAUCCACGGAUGUGCAGUGGCGAUGGCGUCGACGUUAAUUUCAAAUCAUGUUGCAAAAUUAUGCAUUUUUAUAUACACACCCACACACCUACCACCUAAAUUUGUUAUAUAGAUCUACGUCCCACAUAUAUAUCAUCUUCAUAUAUUUUUUAAUAAUGAUAUUUAUUAAUGAUAGUUAGAUGGACACAAGCUAUAAUUGUUGACCUUGGAUUGCAUGGUAUUGUUUUAGAUUUUGGAGAGUUAAGCCAUUUAUAUAAGUUUAAUGUAUUCAUUUAUUUAUGAUAGUUUGAAUUCACAAAUACUUUAUUUAGACACUAUGUAUUAUUUUUAAAACCAACAUUAAAAAUAAGCUUACGGGAACCACCACCCAUCCAAAGCAUUUGUUGCGCCGUUGCGGUCGCAUCACUUGGAUGUAGGGUUCGGCGCCACUGCUGAUAUCUAACACUAGUAAAUCGUAUAAACUAAAUAGUAUAAAUAUUACGUUAAAACUUCAAAAUAAAUUUGGAUUUUCCUUACCAAUUUGUAUCCAACAUAACACAAUUAAUUAAACGAUUUGUGUAUAUAAUUUAACAUAUUAUAGAUUAUAGGUAUAUGAUGUAUGUAUAAACUUAUACUUUAUAAUAUGUAUUAUCAUAUCGGUAUGCACAUUGCAUAAUAGUAGCUAUAUAUAUUAUGUAUAAUAUAAAAUCAAUUGCAGCAGUUUUUAUAAUGUAUCUUAUCGGUUUUGCCGCAGUUUACAUAUCGACUUUUAGAAAAGGUGUAAUUUUGCCGCAGCUUACAUACGGCCAUAUCCAGUUGUAACUAUUUUGUUUGCUGUCACCGGUGAUGAACUGGUGCCCUAUACAAACAAUUUAUUUUUAUAAAUCUAUAAUAAUAUAAUGGUGAAGCCCAGUACCGUAGCCAGGGGGGGAGGGUGGGGCUUCCAGGGCUCAAGCCCCUCCCAAAUAUCACACGACAAUAAUUUUAUUACUUUAAUUACCGUUUGUGGUGAUAAAGCAACGCUGCUCUUAUCACACUUACUUGAUUUUGAUUUGAUAAUAUGUAUAAUUAUAUGAAUUUUAUUGUUAGAAAUACAGUGCAAACUUAAUAUUUUGUUGUCAUAAUAAUUUGCUAUCAAAAAUUAAGCCCGUCAAAGAAAAAUCCUGGCUACAGAACUGGUGAAGCCGGUGAAGGCUGAAGAAUCUCAGUCUCCACUUAUAACCUUUCGGUCACAAAUUGAUUUUAGGCACUCUUAUUUUUCAACAAUUAACAGCAGUGAAAAAUCCGAUGAUUACGUUCGAUAACGUUCUUGUAUGUCAAGAUUUAACGACCAACGCGCAACAUCAACAAUAUAUGAGUACCCCGGACAUAACAUUAUUGAAUCAGAUUUAUAAUAUUACAGUUCGGCUGUUCAGCAUUAUAAAUUAGUGUAAUGUAGAAUAAUAUUAUAAACCCUGAAAACAACUGAACGCAAUUGGUCUAUCUAUCCAAAAAAGACAGAGCGCAAUUGGUAUAUUAAAAGGUCAUUUUAAACGCAAUUGGUAAACUCCCAUCCUG